UACGGAGGAUGCAAGCGUUAUCCGGAAUCAUUGGGCGUAAAGCGUCCGCAGGUGGCAGUUCAAGUCUGCUGUCAAAGACUGGGGCUUAACCCUAGAAAGGCAGUGGAAACUGAACAGCUAGAGUAUGGUAGGGGCAGAGGGAAUUCCUGGUGUGGCGGUGAAAUGCGUAGAGAUCAGGAAGAACAUCGGUGGCGAAGGCGCUCUGCUGGACCAUAACUGACACUCAGGGACGAAAGCUAGGGGAGCGAAUGGG
Molecule: ribosomal RNA, 253 nt
Filed under: uncultured bacterium
Lineage: Bacteria
Description: partial 16S ribosomal RNA
Rfam family: Bacterial small subunit ribosomal RNA
Source: RNAcentral